GAUGAACGCUGGCGGCGUGCCUAAUACAUGCAAGUCGAGCGAACAGACGAGGAGCUUGCUCCUCUGACGUUAGCGGCGGACGGGUGAGUAACACGUGGAUAACCUACCUAUAAGACUGGGAUAACUUCGGGAAACCGGAGCUAAUACCGGAUAAUAUAUUGAACCGCAUGGUUCAAUAGUGAAAGACGGUUUUGCUGUCACUUAUAGAUGGAUCCGCGCCGCAUUAGCUAGUUGGUAAGGUAACGGCUUACCAAGGCAACGAUGCGUAGCCGACCUGAGAGGGUGAUCGGCCACAUUGGAACUGAGACACGGUCCAGACUCCUACGGGAGGCAGCAGUAGGGAAUCUUCCGCGAUGGGCGAAAGCCUGACGGAGCAACGCCGCGUGAGUGAUGAAGGUCUUCGGAUCGUAAAACUCUGUUAUUAGGGAAGAACAAAUGUGUAAGUAACUAUGCACGUCUUGACGGUACCUAAUCAGAAAGCCACGGCUAACUACGUG
This 497-nucleotide ribosomal RNA is filed under the name uncultured bacterium. RNAcentral's name for it is "partial 16S ribosomal RNA". It matches the Rfam family "Bacterial small subunit ribosomal RNA", at positions 28 to 507 of the family's 1533-position model. The record is from RNAcentral.